AUCCAGCUGACGAGUCCUGAAUAGGACAAAACGCGUGUCAAACUGGAU
This is a non-coding RNA of Schistosoma mansoni, 48 nucleotides long. Lineage: Eukaryota; Metazoa; Platyhelminthes; Trematoda; Strigeidida; Schistosomatidae. The record is from Rfam.